Pseudophryne corroboree (corroboree frog) is the source of this 744-nucleotide long non-coding RNA. RefSeq lists it as uncharacterized. The record is from RefSeq and is a predicted model, not a curated record. The transcript is spliced from 3 exons. NCBI's taxonomy places the organism in Eukaryota, Metazoa, Chordata, Amphibia, Anura, Myobatrachidae.
UGACGUCACUUCCGCCGCGACGGGAGACCCGCGGCCGGAAGCGCCACUACGGGGGGGCGGCCGGGAGUGCCUGGGGACACACUGAAGUGACAGAUGGAGGUCCGUAGUGGAUGCUGGGGACUCCGUAAGGACCAUGGGGAUUAGCGGCUCCGCAGGAGACUGGGAACAACUAUAAAGAAAGCUUUAGACUACUGGUGUGCACUGGCUCCUCCCACUAAGACCCUCCUCCAGACUUCAGUUAGGAUACUGUGCCCGGAAGAGCUGACACAAUAAGGAAGGAUUUUGAAUCCCGGGAGAGGAAGAGCCUGUGCUAUCUCAAGAAAAGACAAUGCUUUGGUGCCUAGGCUCCUCCAGCUCCACCUAUACCGCAUGGUUUCCAGUGGACUCAGAGAAAAGGAUUUUACAGGAAAGAACAAAAAUCCCAUUAUGUUGUUGCAUUCUGCUUUAAUAUAUAAUUUAACUCCCAUUUUGAUAAAAAAAAAAAAGACAACAAAAUUUAUUUAUAAAGUAUUUAUUUUCUUUUAAGUUAAACAAUUUUCAAUGAUGCUUUGCAUUUAUAAAAUGAACAAGUACAGGCCCUGUACUGCAGACACCUUGGAAUUAUUGUAACCAAAUUAAGAGAGAACAGUUACCAAACUAUACCUUUGAAUAAAAAAAAAUAAUGUUAUUACAUCAGUAUUAUUUCCAUAAUAACAAUGAGAAUGCAAUACAAUAAAGAUCCUUUGUUACCUGCUCACAGCAGAA